RNAcentral lists this microRNA precursor (60 nucleotides) under Echinops telfairi (small Madagascar hedgehog). Its description in RNAcentral is "Ete-Novel-1_pre stem-loop". Lineage: Eukaryota; Metazoa; Chordata; Mammalia; Afrosoricida; Tenrecidae. The record is from RNAcentral.
UAAAAGCGUGUGGCAAAGCUCAGUUGUCUUGUAAUUCCAGCUUCUCCACACGCUUUUUGA